UCGGCUCCUUUUUUUUCGGAUGCUCUUUUCAUAAAGAUUUUUCGGGUUUCUUUUUCCUUGAUUUCUUUCCUCCUCCUGUACCUUAGAUGAAAAUGGCUACCAGUGACUUGGCGAGCGUUGGGAAGGCAGAUCUGGCAGGCUGUGCCGGAGGGGGGGCCCGGAGGACGGGGAGCUGCGACGCCCAUCACGGUCGCCCACGCCGGGCAGCGGCUGCUCGGGGAGCGGGCAGGAAUCGGGCAAAACCGGGCAGAAAUCGGGCAAAACCGGGCAGGAUCCGCCGCGCUGCGAACUCCCUGGGCGAGUAAAAAUGGUGCCGCGGAGCGUGCGGAUGCUGCGGCGGACACUGCGCUCCCGAGUAGGGAUUAUCCACUUCUUUUUUUUUUUUUCCUUUUUUUUUUUUUUUUCUUAAUUAUUAUUUAUUUUUGUUGUCAUGCCACAGAUCUUCAACUGUACUUGCAAAUAAAAGCGAGAGCUCACGGAUACCGCUUUCCUUCCA
This is a long non-coding RNA of Cyanistes caeruleus (blue tit), 496 nucleotides long. RefSeq lists it as uncharacterized. Lineage: Eukaryota; Metazoa; Chordata; Aves; Passeriformes; Paridae. The record is from RefSeq and is a predicted model, not a curated record.